Long non-coding RNA from Dendronephthya gigantea, 1232 nucleotides. RefSeq lists it as uncharacterized. The transcript is spliced from 3 exons. The record is from RefSeq and is a predicted model, not a curated record. NCBI's taxonomy places the organism in Eukaryota, Metazoa, Cnidaria, Anthozoa, Malacalcyonacea, Nephtheidae.
UUAUUAAAUGCUAUAGUUUACAAUAAAACAAUAAGAUAACUCAGCCUCGUUGGCUAUGAGCGAAUAGUAAACUCAGCCUCGUUGUAAUAAUACAUUCGUCCUAAUAUUUAUAAAUCUGAGGCCAAUCUCCGACCGGUGUAAUAACCCCAACGACCGACAAGUGUGACGCCACAUUAGGCGAAAACCCUGGGAACGAGGUUGCGCAUUCGUUUCAAAAUUCAAAUUUUUUACAACGACAUUCUUGGCUGUUCUACGAGGAGAUUGCAAUUUUAUUUGAUAAAAGACAUAAAAGGAUAAUCUUUGUCACUCUCCUAAUACGAUUGGAAAUGAAAUAGGUGCUGGUUCACUGGAUUGAGUCAAAUAAGACAAGCAUCUUAAAGAAAGAAUAUAUUAUUUAAAGACAAAAGUGUGCAUGCUAAAACAUCCCGAGAAGGAUCGCAUGGUUUUGUUUGGAUACUCAAAGAUGAAUUCCCCAAAGACGGCAUGGAAAUCGUAUUUUGAAACGUUUUGGCAGAAAGUGAUAGCAAGAAUGAGUUACUAAUGAAAACUUAGCUUGAAUUGAGCAGUUGGAGGAUAACAGUGAUAAUAACAGUGAUGAUAAUAAAGCCAAGAAGAGGCGAUUAGAUGUGACCAGUGCUGACAAUAAGAAACCAAAGAAGAAUAUAAAGCUUUUGUCAUCAUGAAAUUUCCUCAAGCAAAUAAUACAAUUUUAAAAGCUGUUAUGACACAAGAGUGCAAAGAAUUUAGGCUGUCAAUGGAAAACCGAAGAAAGAAUCAGGAAGAUCUUAGCAACAAUUAAGACAGUAGGAUGACUAAAUAAAUUAUAGUAUUAUAAUUCAUUUUUUUAUAUUUACAGAUGUAUCUUUUACUCUUUAACAUAGUCAAAUGUUUCACUUCAUUUUGUAAUAUGGUUUUCAAUAUAUGUGCAUUAAUUUACUUCACCUGGUAAUACUGUGUCUGAGUGAUUUAAUGAUAAUUAAAGGUGUCAUGCAGUAGUUUGUGUGGAUCACAUGUGAACCACAUGUGAACGUCAAAACAGACUAACAUGUGAACCACAUGUGGUUGUUCCAGAUCCACAUGUACUGAACCACAUGUGACUCACAUGUGAUACCACCACAUGUGAUACUACCACAUGUGAACCACAUGUGAUACCACCACAUGUGAACCACAUGUGAUAUAAUGGUUCCAAUUUCACAUGUGAGUCACAUGUGAUUCCACAUGUGGUUUUUGCA